ACCAAAUGCUAGUUACAUUGUCUUCUCUGUAAUGGACUGAUGGUGGUUUCCACAGCAUGCCUUGGGGUUAGGCUGAGUUUGUCCUUAAUUUUAGACCUGGGAGGGAUUUUAGGCCACGGUAUGCCUGAUGGAAAGCACCUUAAAACUCAAACUGUUAAAAUAUGAAACAGAAUGCCAGCAUAAAGAAGAUAUCUAGUUAAGCCUCCUUACUUUAUAGAUCGGGAAACUGAGCCUCAGCGAGAUUGUUUCUUCUGCUGUAAAAUCAUCUGUUUGGAUUUGAGAUCAACAUGAGAAGACCACUAGUUCCAGCCAGAAGCAAAUGUUAUAUCAUGAUGGAUACCCAGUGCAUUUGGGAAUCUGGAAUCAGAGGUGACUCUGAGUAAAAUACAGACAUUCUUUGCUAAUAAAAAGUCCUAAUCAACUAAAUGCAUUACAAGGAUCUAAGACAUCUCCAGAGGCCUCGGGAU
Phascolarctos cinereus (koala) is the source of this 467-nucleotide long non-coding RNA. RefSeq lists it as uncharacterized. The record is from RefSeq and is a predicted model, not a curated record. NCBI's taxonomy places the organism in Eukaryota, Metazoa, Chordata, Mammalia, Diprotodontia, Phascolarctidae.